CUGGCCUGUAAAAUUUCUGUAAAUUUAACAGUUGGUCUCUCGCUGGCCAACCUAAGCCUGCUCUAAAUUCACCGGCUUAAUACAAUAUGAAGUGAUAAAUGAGGCUUCAAAUGUAAACAGGGACAUAUCUGCUUAGGCUCUUGAAAACCAAUGCAAGGAGUUUUUAUUUCAUUUAAAAAAUAAAGAAAAACCACUGGAGGGUUGAAAUCCAAAGAGAGAUAUGACUCAAUUUGUGCUUUAAAACGUUCCCUCUCAGUGCUCCAGAGAGUUGAUUUCAAAAAGGUAGAACAAAAGCAGUGAGACCAGCCAAAAGCUACUGUAAAUAGUGUGGGGACAGAUAAUGAAGACUUGGAAAUAAAUGGUGCACUGGAGGGGGUGGUGAUUCCAAGGCAGAUUGACAGAGUUUAUUGCUGUUCUGAGGUGGGGGCACCAAAGCCUGUAACUCAGACAAGAAUUCCUACAUAUCACAGACAUUGGAACACAGAAGGCCUUCUUUGUUCUCUUUUAGAGCCUAAGAAAGUUUCCUGAAAGCUCAGUAAUGAAGGAGAUACAGAGAAGACCAGAUACUGAACCAGUUCCUCCUUUCCUCCCAUGCAGUCGGGAUGAAGUCAAGACACAUCAGCUUUGAAGGAUAUAAAAAAUGGCAUCCUGUGAGCAUCAGAUCAUGGGAAGGACCAUAUCAAUGUCUGGCUGAAAGAACCAACUACAUGCAACUUGCCCAGUUGUCAGAAAAAAAUACCCUGCCCUGCAAAACAGCAUCUGUUCCAUUUCUGCCCUCGCUAAGAGCCAGCUGUUAUUCUCACCUGCUGAACAGGUUCUCUCAAGAUGAACUCUCACUAGGGGUGAAGCAAAUAAAGACAAUCAAGACAGACAUCAAGCUGCCUCAGACUUUUUUUUUCUGCUGCUGGGGCCAUGGACUCCUCUCACCCAUCUGGCCCUGAUCUCCCACUCCUAGAGGUUUCUAUGAACUCUGGAAUGUUCUUCUCUGCUGCCCAUAUCAAAAUCCUCCUAGUCUCUGCUCACCAAGCCUCUGGCUCAUCACCACCCCAGCUCAGCCCUGCGGAUCGUAAUUACAUUGGGAGAGCGCUGUGGGCUAUUUUACUUCUUCUUUUGGGGAAUAUUUCCUGAACCAACUGUCUAGUGAGGUUAAUGUUGUAUAGUUGAACUUUUUUUUUGUAUAUGUAAGGAUGCUCCUUUCUGUUUCUAAUCCAUCGUAAUCAUCAGUAAAUUGCCACUGUGCACAGAUUUAAUCUUUUUCAAAGUGUUCCUUCAAUACAUCCACCUCGGCAUUAAACUUAGG
This 1300-nucleotide long non-coding RNA is filed under the name Fukomys damarensis (Damara mole-rat). RNAcentral describes it as "lncRNA (ENSFDAG00000021941.1)". The record is from RNAcentral. Lineage: Eukaryota; Metazoa; Chordata; Mammalia; Rodentia; Bathyergidae.